RNAcentral lists this ribosomal RNA (252 nucleotides) under uncultured bacterium. RNAcentral describes it as "partial 16S ribosomal RNA". It matches the Rfam family "Bacterial small subunit ribosomal RNA", at positions 524 to 776 of the family's 1533-position model. The record is from RNAcentral.
UACGUAGGAUGCGAGCGUUGUCCGGAAUUAUUGGGCGUAAAGAGCUCGUAGGCGGUCUGUCGCGUCGAUCGUGAAAACUUGGGGCUUAACCCUGAGCUUGCGGUCGAUACGGGCAUGACUGGAGUUCGGCAGGGGAGACUGGAAUUCCUGGUGUAGCGGUGAAAUGCGCAGAUAUCAGGAGGAACACCGGUGGCGAAGGCGGGUCUCUGGGCAUACUGACGCUGAGGAGCGAAAGCGUGGGGAGCGAACAGG